AGCCUGACGGAGCAAUGCCGCGUGAAGGUAGAAGGCCUACGGGUCAUGAACUUCUUUUCCCGGAGAAGAAGCAAUGACGGUAUCCGGGGAAUAAGCAUCGGCUAACUCUGUGCCAGCAGCCGCGGUAAUA
This 130-nucleotide ribosomal RNA is filed under the name Magnoliophyta environmental sample. Its description in RNAcentral is "partial 16S ribosomal RNA". It matches the Rfam family "Bacterial small subunit ribosomal RNA", at positions 380 to 525 of the family's 1533-position model. Lineage: Eukaryota; Viridiplantae; Streptophyta; Magnoliopsida. The record is from RNAcentral.